Molecule: ribosomal RNA, 1137 nt
Filed under: Triticum aestivum (bread wheat)
Lineage: Eukaryota; Viridiplantae; Streptophyta; Magnoliopsida; Poales; Poaceae
Description: partial small subunit ribosomal RNA
Source: RNAcentral
AUGGCCAAACAAGUGUACGAGUGCAACUGGGUUCCCUCCCGUGUCACAGAAUCACAACUGAAUGAUCUAGUCCUGAUCGGCGCUUUGGAUAACAAAGAUACGAUUCACUGGAGGGUUCCUGGAGAUGAAUGUCCUCCUACGCCCCAGGAAGGAGAGGUCGUGGUCUUCGCAGAUCACAUGGCCCGGGGCUUCAAACCGCCCGGCUCCAAAUUUUAUCGGGAUGUGUUAGCCAACUUUCAACUCCGUCCACAGGAUAUUGGCCCCAACUCCGUCACCAAUCUAUGUCACUUUCAAGUACUUUCUGAGGCAUACCUUCAAGAGGAGCCUUCAGUCGAGUUAUUUAGAGAUCUCUUUCAUCUAAACCGCCGUACUGAAUUCACUGACGGCCCUAAUACCGAACUUGGCGGUAUGGCCAUUCAGAAAAGGAAAGAAAUCACCUAUCCCCACGUCAAACUCCAUACUCACCCCAAGGAAUGGAACGCAACUUGGUUUUAUUGCAAGGAUACCUCUCCUGACAAUGAAAAUCCCUUGCCUGGCUUCCAUCCGGAACGGCUCAGCAACACUCACCCUUUUCCACAAAGGCUAAGCGCCAAGGAGAGAAUUAAAUACGCUCCUCAACUAUCCAAGCUCCGGGCCUUCAUGGCCAAUGGUUUAACAGGAAUAGACCUUGCACGCUGCUGGAUAUCAUGGAGCAUUUUGCCUCUAAGCCGGCGCCCAAAUUUGAUGUGCGAGUAUGAUAGUGUCGAUGACCCACUCCGACACACUAAAAUCCAGCUCCCUGAUGACGAAGUCACAGAAUCUGUGAAAAAGAUGCUGAAUGAACCGGAGCACCUCUGUGCUCAAACCGGUCUGCCUCCUUACUGCACCACCAACAAACCGCCAGCGGGUGAUAAUCCAUUUUGGAGCAAGAAACUUCCUAAGACAAAACGGAAAAGGCAGGACGGCCAACCCGGCCCAAGACCAAGGUUAUCAAGAAGCCAGCUCAUAAGAGAAAAACCACCGCUUCAUCUGACCCAGCCAUUGACGAUGAUGUGGGUAAUCCGGAUCUUGAGGAUGACGCUGAAGCCAGCAAUGCGGGUUUUGUUGAGACCCAGCAACACGAAGCUCGCCACACAACCCGGCACAGUGGCCAGGUAG